Molecule: ribosomal RNA, 253 nt
Filed under: uncultured bacterium
Lineage: Bacteria
Description: partial 16S ribosomal RNA
Rfam family: Bacterial small subunit ribosomal RNA
Source: RNAcentral
UACGAAGGGGGCUAGCGUUGCUCGGAAUCACUGGGCGUAAAGGGUGCGUAGGCGGGUCUUUAAGUCAGGGGUGAAAUCCUGGAGCUCAACUCCAGAACUGCCUUUGAUACUGAGGAUCUCGAGUCCGGGAGAGGUGAGUGGAACUCCGAGUGUAGAGGUGAAAUUCGUAGAUAUCAAGUGGAACACCAGUGGCGAAGGCGAGUCUCUGGACAUUUCCUGACGCUGAGGCACGAAAGCCAGGGGAGCAAACGGG